GCCCCUUUAGCUCAGUCGGUAGAGCGUUUCCAUGGUAAGGAAGAGGUCUACGGUUCGAUUCCGUAAAGGGGCU
This 73-nucleotide transfer RNA is filed under the name Aeromicrobium sp. Its description in RNAcentral is "tRNA-Thr". It matches the Rfam family "tRNA". From Rfam's summary of the family: Transfer RNA (tRNA) molecules are approximately 80 nucleotides in length. Their secondary structure includes four short double-helical elements and three loops (D, anti-codon, and T loops). Lineage: Bacteria; Bacillati; Actinomycetota; Actinomycetes; Propionibacteriales; Nocardioidaceae. RNAcentral also lists the same sequence under 3 other names. The record is from RNAcentral.